Molecule: non-coding RNA, 1352 nt
Organism: Rattus norvegicus (Norway rat)
Lineage: Eukaryota; Metazoa; Chordata; Mammalia; Rodentia; Muridae
Source: RefSeq
GUGGCAGGAGGGUACUUAAGGCGCGGCCACCGGGGCUGCGGCAUUGCGCCCAGCAGCGGACUCCGAGAUCCAUAGACCUCGGCGAACCCUUGCUCUCGACCACCCACCCACUUUCGGAACCAUGGCCGCAGUGGCAGCAGCCUCGGCAGAACUGCUCAUCAUCGGCUGGUACAUCUUCCGCGUGCUGCUGCAGACCCUGUCCCCAGUGCGCCCGCGCCCAGCCGGGAACAAAGACUCAGGGGUGCGGCGGUCGCCCGCUGCGGACGAUCGCGACCAACGCGGUGUUCCUGGAAUGCUGCAUUUACUGGGUAGGAUUCGCUUUUCGAAAUCCUCCAGGGACACAGCCCAUUGCGAGAAGUGAGGUGUUCAGGUACUCCCUGCAGAAGCUGGCGCACACGGUGUCCCGGACCGGGCGGCAGGUGCUGGGGGAGCGCAGGCACCGAGCCCCCAACUGAGGCCCCAUCUCCCAGCCCUGGGCGGCCGUGUCAUCAGGUGCUCCUGUGCUUCUCGACCAGCAUGGGAGCCAAUGCCGCGCAGGAAUGGGGGGUCCCCUGUGCUCCCUCGUCAGAGGAGCACUUGCCAAGGUCAGUGAGGGGCCGGUAGGUCCCCAGAAAAGCAGCACCGACAAUGAUGAAGACAUCAGUUCCUUUCCCAGCCCCCUCCCCCCUUUGCCCCUGUCCCAUGGCCGGCGGGUGGGAGAGGAUGGGGGAAGAGGGGAGCAACCCUCGAGAUAUGGGCGUAGGCACCACAUUCUGAUCUGGACCAAGUUGGAACAGCACCAUCUCAGCCGCACAAGAUCCUACCAUGGAGAGCUAACACCCCACCAACCAGCAGAAUGGACAUUCUGACAUCACCAGCUGAAACCCUGAAUCUCGGUGCAGAAGAGAAAGUGUCAACUGCGUGCAGCACUGGGGGAGUGGAGGGUGUGGGUGGUGGAGGAAGAGGGUUAAGAAAACUAGUGGGGCCCUCUUGCUGUCCCUUGCCUAUGGCACGCAUAUUCCUGCCUUGCUCCCUCACUCCCCCUCUCCCCUGCCUUCCAAAGCCCCACCCCCCAAAAAUGUGUCACUUGAUUCGGACCUAUUCAACCAGUAAUUGGAUCCCACCUUUACCAAAACACCGUCUCUGACCCCCGGCCCUUCACUGAUCUUGCUUAUCCCUGGUCUCACGCAGCAGUUGUGGUUGCUAUUGUGGUAGUCGCUAAUUGUACUAGUUUACGUGUGCAUUAGUUGUGUCUCCCCGGCUAGAUUGUAAGCUCCUGGAGACAGGGACCACCUCCACAAAAAAUAAAAAAACGGACCUCUCCUGUCUUGUAGUGUCCUAGGACCCUGCAGGGCAGUGGGGGUGCACCAAAA